UCGGGAAUAUUGCCCAAUGCGCGAAAGCGUGAGGCAGCAACGCCGCGUGCGCGAUGAAGGCCUUCGGGUCGUAAAGCGCUUUUCGGUGGGAUGAGCAAGGACAGUACCACCGGAAUAAGGGACGGCUAACUACGUGCCAGCAGCCGCGGUAAAACGUAGGUCCCGAGCGUUAUCCGGAUUUACUGGGCGUAAUGGGCGUUCAGGCGGUGGGCUAAGUCGGGCAUGAAAUCUCUCGGCUCAACCGGGAGAGGCUGUCCGAGACUGGCUCACUUGAGGGCAGUCGAGGGUGGUGGAAUUCCGGGUGUAGUGGUGAAAUGCGUAGAGAUCCGGAGGAACACCAGUGGCGAAAGCGGCCACCUGGGCUGUACCUGACGCUGACACGCGAAAGCUAGGGGAGCGAACGGGAUUAGAACCCCGGUAGUCCUAGCCGUAAACGAUGUUGACCAGGUGUCGGCGGUCUAAACCCCGUCGGUGCCGGCGCUAACGCACGAAGUCAACCGCCUGGGGACUACGGCCGC
This 518-nucleotide ribosomal RNA is filed under the name uncultured Chloroflexota bacterium. RNAcentral describes it as "bacterial SSU rRNA". It matches the Rfam family "Bacterial small subunit ribosomal RNA", at positions 355 to 889 of the family's 1533-position model. Lineage: Bacteria; Bacillati; Chloroflexota. The record is from RNAcentral.